GACGAACGCUGGCGGCGUGCCUAAUACAUGCAAGUAGGACGCAGUUGCGACCGUGUGAGUAACGCGUCGGUCCCUCCCUAUUAGAGGGGGAUAACUAUUGGAAACGAUAGCUAAUACCGCAUACUUGUCGAUGGACCUGCGUUGUAUUUGCUAGUAGGUAGGGUAAUGGCCUACCUAGGCAACGAUACAUAGCCGAACUGGGAGGGUGAUCGGCCACACUGGGACGGAGACACGGCCCAGACUCCUACGGGAGGCAGCAGUAGGGAAUCUUCGGCAAUGGGGGGAACCCUGACGAAGCAACGCCGCGGGAGUGAAGAAGGUUUUCGGAUCGUAAAGCUCUGUUGUUAAGGAAGCGGUACUUAACCAGAAAGGGACGGCUAACUACGUGCCAGCCGCCGCGGUAAUAC
This 407-nucleotide ribosomal RNA is filed under the name uncultured bacterium. RNAcentral's name for it is "partial 16S ribosomal RNA". It matches the Rfam family "Bacterial small subunit ribosomal RNA", at positions 28 to 526 of the family's 1533-position model. The record is from RNAcentral.